This 22-nucleotide non-coding RNA is filed under the name Arabidopsis thaliana (thale cress). Lineage: Eukaryota; Viridiplantae; Streptophyta; Magnoliopsida; Brassicales; Brassicaceae. The record is from RNAcentral.
UAACUUUGUCAAAGCCUUCAUC